Long non-coding RNA from Solanum verrucosum, 238 nucleotides. RefSeq lists it as uncharacterized. The transcript has 2 exons. The record is from RefSeq and is a predicted model, not a curated record. NCBI's taxonomy places the organism in Eukaryota, Viridiplantae, Streptophyta, Magnoliopsida, Solanales, Solanaceae.
AGGGGUUAUUGUGCCCUAUAUGCAACCAGGGGUUAUUGUGCCCUGUGAAGACAUGAAAAAAUAAAAUAGGGUUAUUGUGCCCUAUAUGCAACCAGGGGUUAUUGUGCCCUGUGAAGACAUGAAAAAUAAAAUAGGGGUUAUUGUGCCCUAUAUGCAACCAGGGGUUAUUGUGCCCUGUGAAGACAUGAAAAAUAAAAUAGGGGUUAUUGUGCCCUAUAUGCAACCAGGGGUUAUUGUG